AGGAGCCUUGCUUCUCCCCUUCACACAGCCCACUACGCAUCUGGACUGACUUUGCUUCCUUGCUCCCCAGGGAAUUCCUUUCUUCACUCAAGAUCCUACUUUCGGGAUUUCUUCCAUUCAGCUUCCUGCCAAUGGGCACCCUGUGACGCAGCAGGGGAUGGCCCCAGUACUUGGAUUCCUGCUGCCCAUGUGGGAGACCUGCACUGAGUUUCCAGCUUCUAGCGCCAGCCUGGCCCAGCACCAGCCUUUGCAGGCAUUUGGGGAGUGAACCAACUGACGGAAGAUUUCUCUCUGUGUCUGUCUGUCUGCCUGCCUCCAUACCUCUGCCUUUUAAGUAAAAAUAAAUUUAAGUAAAAAUUUAAAACAUCA
This is a non-coding RNA of Oryctolagus cuniculus (rabbit), 369 nucleotides long. Lineage: Eukaryota; Metazoa; Chordata; Mammalia; Lagomorpha; Leporidae. The record is from RefSeq and is a predicted model, not a curated record.